Long non-coding RNA from Gadus macrocephalus (Pacific cod), 6513 nucleotides. RefSeq lists it as uncharacterized. The record is from RefSeq and is a predicted model, not a curated record. Lineage: Eukaryota; Metazoa; Chordata; Actinopteri; Gadiformes; Gadidae. The transcript has 8 exons.
UCUGUAUUGUGUGUGUGUGUGUGUGUGUGUGUGUGUGUGUGUUAAUGUGUGUGGUGGUAGGCAAUGACUCCAGUUUAACCAGUGAAUGAGUUUCUCUGGUCUCUUUGAUGAAAGCUUCCUUCUCACUCUCUCACACGCACGCACACUCACUCGCGCACAAAGUAAGGUGAAUUGAAUGAAGACUUUUUUCAUUUUGAAGUUUGAAUCUAAAUCAGUCAAAUCAGACUCAUCCCUUUAAUUAAAAUGAGGGAGGUCAUUUAAGAUCAAACACAGUGCUGAAAUAGCCUCUCACUGUUACCAAGAAGACCACAGGGUGCCGAACCUGCAUUGAGUUUUACUAAUUAGCCUACCUGCCGCAGCUCGCCUGCCAGGUGGUUUUCUUGAUUAGUUAAUUGGUUGCAUCUGGUGCGUUUCACUUAAAAGGGAACCGGACAGUACAUUUGUUUGUUGUAUUGAGGUCUGUUGUGACUUAUUUAACAUCUCUUCCAGUUUCACAGGUUAAAGACUUUUUGAAGUAAAGAGGAGCAUCUCAUCUGAACCUGAUGUCUAUCAUGGAUAUUUAACUGCAGUUCUGUGAGUAUCCCAACUUAACCAUGAAGCAUAACUGCAAACUGUAAGUCAUUAAUUUCUCAUUACUCUUGGGCACAUUGAUGUAUUUUGACUUCCUGGUGAGUUAACCUGUUACCUGAAGGUUGAUCUGAGUAUAAGGAUGUUUUAUUGGUUCAUGGGUUACUUAGGUGUUUGGUUUAUGUUGGUAUUAAUGAUUUGUUAAAAUGGUUACAGGCUCCAAGUUAUUGUUGUAAGCUGGAGUAAUUGGUUGGGUUCUGAUAUCUUCAGUCUUCUUUCAUUCUACUCUGAGCUCUGCAUCUUCAUCACAUGAGUGUUGCUUUACUGAUGAGGGUGUGGUCUGAGUGAGCAGAGGUGCAUACUGGGAUACAGAGCUGUCUGAAGUCUACAGGUCUGUUGACACGCCCCCUCAGGGGAAACCCAGUGUUUGAGAAACUGUGGUGACGUCAGUUACAUGGAUUGGAAUGUUCUUAAAGAUGGAGACAGGGAUUCAGAAAGAGAAACACCAGGGGGAGAUGAGGGGGCUCCUCAUCUCAACGACUAGAACACAACUUCAGUCUGACAUAGAGAACCAUGGAACACAUUCAACAGUCCCCUCCAGGCAUCGUGACUCCUCAGGAACAGUUUCAUUUCACUUAUUUGGGGCCAUCCCCAUAUGGAUCCUGCUCCUCAAGAGCCACCCCCCUCCACUGGGUGGUCUUCUGAACAGAUGACCUCCUUCCUGUCCUCAGGCUGACUCAAGCUGCACCGUUUACAUCUGUGAAGGCCCCUCAUUCAGGAAACCACUGGACUAUAAAGACAUGACUUCAGAGAUGUUGAAUCUACCUGGGACACAUUUUGGAGACGCCAAGCAUAAUCCAUCACCAAUGUGGGACGCCACUGAAGAAUGUUGUACAUAAUUUACGUCUCUGGAGACAUUGGUUGUUCUGUUAUGGGUGCCCUGGCAGGAGAGCUGGGGGGGAUGAUGGAAUGGAAUUUUGCGAAAAAUUAUUGGAUCAUUCUUAGAAUUGACAUUUCUCUGGGCCAAUCGGAAUCUCAGCACUUGCUUCAGAAUCUUUCUUAUAAUUGACAUUUCUCUGGGCCAAUCGGAAUCUUGAAGCACACAGCGCCAACUGAGCUCGCCAUUGGAUGAGACGGUCGCCUGGCUACCGCGCAUGCGCAUCCGCAUCCGCAUGUAUGAGGCCAAACAACACAAGAGAGCUUGCGAAACACUCGUCCAGAGGGGUGUUCCACGAACGGAGGUUUAACAAACACUGAGUUAACGCUGAACUCUAGGUUGAUUUACCCUGUGCCGACCAACCGAGAGUUUUCGGUUCCACAGCAGCGGUUAUGCAUUAGUUCAAUCAACUCGGGGUUGGUUAACACGGGGUUGUGCGCGUCCACGCCAAACCUAAAAAGACGUGAUGUAUGGAUCAUGGAAACCCUGAUCGAAAUAGCGAAACGGGCCGCUUAUUUCAAUGAAAUGGAACUUCAGGUUCUCCUGGAGAGCUAUGACGAGGAGAAGGACAUUAUCACAAGAAAAGGGAACGCUAAAACCUCUGCAACCCGGAGAACCAAAGCCUGGCAGCGGAUCGCUGACCGUGUAAAUGCGUUAGUUACAAGUCAAAAGCAUGAUCCUUAAUAUUUGAGCCAUGAAUAUAAAUAUCCCAGUUAAGCAUUCUUAAAGAUCCUACCACAUAACCCCUUUCCUUUAAAGAAAUAUGUACUCCGAUGGCUUCCAAGCGGUCAGUGGAACAAGUAUAAAAAUGAAGUAUAAAAAAACAUACAAACUGGUAAGCUUUUCCCACCAUCGUAUUGGUAUAAAUUUAAAUAAGCCAUUUUUUUAAGCCAAUCGUGAAAAGGCCGACAGUCGGCAGACUGGAUCUGGCCCUCAAAUUGUCUUGACCCCGGUGGAGGAGCUGUUAAUAAACAUAAAUUCAGGGCGCCCUGGCAUGGAGGGGGUACCUGGAGGUACCUACCUCCUCAGAGUCAGGGGCCAUACCCCACUGGUUGAAUGUAGGUUUUUGUGUUUUCUUGUAUUUUAGAUAUUUUUUGCCUUCGAAGUAACACAUGCAAACCAUGUGCUUGCCACAGCGCAUACUAUUCCUAAUGUUUCUUUUUUUGGUAACUGGGUAGAAAACCUAAAAGUGACAAUUCAUCAACUUCACAGAAUAAUAAUUAUUUUUUGUCUCCAAUAAUAAGAGACAAAACAAAAAGAUUGCCCCGUGACACCGUCACCUUUUUUCCUCUGUGGAGUUUGCAGGUCUGGUGUGUGUCCGGCUUGCUUUGACAGUGAUAAUGUUCAUACGGGGGUCUGUGUGAUUGGCUUGGGAUAUUGGAAUGGUCAACUAAAUCAUACCUGAUGGACGGCCACACGUUUACUUAAGGGCCUCCAGUAGACAUGAAGAGCCCUGAGCGACGCUCCGGAGCGAUAUCCAACACACUGGGCAGGAAGGAGAGUAUCGAACUCAAGUGUAAAAGGAUGCAAGCGACGUGUUCAGAUCAGUGACUUCCAACUAGGACUACACCAAUCAGGAUCAAUGGAGGAUGGACACCAUAAGGAAUUCAACAAGGAGAGUCCGACGUUGGAAAGGGACCUAAAUGGAUAUUCAAGAUGACCUUCAGACCUGUAAUGAGACGGCUCUUCCUACCUGGCUGGAUUGAUGGAGAGCCCUGUGGAUCUUGUCUUGCUCUCAGUUGCACGUCUUCUCAGGCUGAACUGUAUUUGUUUCGGACAGGACUAGCUGAACGAUUGGUUCCCUUAAAUCAGAACCAAUCCGGGAGCUAGUGCGCUCUUCGAGCUGAAGUUGUGCUCUUCAGCUGAGGAGGUAAGGAAACCUUCACUGGGGCUUCAAGGUGUAAAGAGGAGAAUGUUUCAAAGUGUUCCAUGGUACUCUGAUGAAGACCGUUGUUGUGUUCCACUGGCUGAGAGGAAGAACGACACAUCUUCCUCUUGGCCUUCUCCUCUCAGAAUCCUGCCACCAUCUUGAAGGAUAUUCCAGCUCAUGUAACUGAUGUCACGACAGAUUCUGAAACACUUGAUUUCUCCUGAGGGGCGUGUCUAUGGAACUGAAGACUUCAGACAGCACUGUAUCCCAGCAUGCAUCUCUGCUCACUCAGACCACACCCCCAUGGGUAGGAUGCAACACUCUAGUGAUGGAGAUGUAGAGUUUUAUAAGUAAGGGGAGGGAGCAGACUAAGGUGAUUAGACCACAAUGGAAUGUCAUGUCUGUAAAUCUUUAAACCAUGAAGAUGGUUCUAUAGUUCAGGAAUUGGGCUUCUUUUUACUAUGGGCAGUUCUUUCACUCAGAUGCCCACUUCUCACUGGAGCUGUACAUGUGUUGGCUGGCUGGCAUGAUUUGCUGUUGGUGAUGAGGCGGUCAGGGUGACGUUGCAGGGCUAUGGUCGGCUCUCUGUGAGCUCAACGUUUAGAUUUGCUCUGUAUGGUUUGUACCCUGAAUAAUCUUAAUUGUAAAAUGUAGACACGGUUUUGUAUUGAAUGAUUCCAGGAUUUUAGGUUUAAAGUUGUUGUGGGACGUACAUGGUAGUUUGGUUCUUCGUAUGGUUUUGAGUGAUAUAACUUGUACACACUGGGUGCAUAGUAAUGUAAAGGUACACUGAAUAGUAGAAAUGACCAACAGCAACAAACAGAUCUCCUCAAGGUAAGUCUGUUGGCUGUGUUUCAAUGAAGACCAUCGCUGGACUUCAGGAUCUUCCUCCGUUCAGCUCAAGGUGAGGCGCUGGUUCUGUUUUUUCUUUGGUUGGUUCCGGCCGGAAUGUUCGGAUUCCAGUCGGACGGUUUGUGCUUCCCGCCGUGGAAGGUUCUGAGUGAGGUCACUUGAUUUAGUCCCAAUGGUUAGCAUAGAACGUUGUAGUCUUGACAACCAUUAGAAACCACCUGGCAGUUAGUUGGACCGGAGUCCCCUGAGGGAAUCUGGCGGAACGUUCUGGAUUGUAUUCGCGUAACCUCGAGCCGUUGCCAACGGAUACUAUUUUUCAUUCGGUUUCCAUUGGGAAUUGUUGCCCCCUAUCUUAAACAACUUAAGUUUGAUAUUAAAUACAUACUGACAUGUACGUCGUACAAUAUGUUAAUUUCCGAUGGUUGCGCCGUACUUUUAACCACGAUGACGUUGCGGGACUCUCACUGCGUACAAAACAGCGUUCUACUUGCGGGCCCAUUUUUGACAUCAGCGAGGGCUGAAAAUCAUUUCAAGGUGGAAGAUAAUUUUACAUUUCUUCAACGGAACCCAGCACCUGAAUAUGGCUGAGUAUAUUUGAUUUAAUAUCGAUAAUGCUUAGUGUUCUUUGUUACUUCAGCUUUUGUACGUUCUAAAUAUCUGCUGUCAUUAAUUGCCACAGAAGUUAAACCCUACCCAAUGGAAUGACGUUAAACAACGACUUUGGUGCAGAGUUAACAACUGGAUAAUAUCAAAGCUAAAAUAAUGGCCGUCAUUCCCACAUGUUACAGUAGAAGAUACUCUAGAACUGUACAAGGUUAAAAAGGUAACAUGUAGUUUGUCCCAAGGUGUCUACCUCCUCACCCAGAGCAAGACCUCCACCUCCUCCCCCAGAGCCAGACCUCCACCUCCUGUCAGAAGUCCUCCAGAACAGGGUGGACCGGAGACUGAGGCUGGAGACCAGGGGCCUGCAGCACCGGACCAGAGGGUAACCAUCACCAAGCUCAUCUGAAACACUAAAAUCCACGACCAGGAAUCCAUGUCUGGAGGAGCCGUGCUGAAGGAGCUGAUGGAGAUGCCGUGCUGAAGGAGCUGAUGGAGAUGCCGUGCUGAAGGAGCUGAUGGAGGAGCCCUGCUGAAGUAGCUGAUGGAGGAGCCCUGCUGAUGGAGGAGCCGUGCUGGAGGAGCUGAUGGAGGAGUCGUGCUGAAGGCCCUGCCUGGUGGAGGAGCUGGUGGAGGCCCUGCCUGGUGAAGGACGUCUGUCGUGGGACCAGGACUCUGUCUGAGGAGAGCUGCUGGAGGAGCUGAGACCCUGGAGGACGACUAGGAAUCGACCAACAAGGAUUCCUUAACGUGUUUCUGGAGCGGAGGCGAGCUGGUAGGGGAGCUGUGAAUCUGGAGGAUGACCAUCACUCUACCAACAAGGAUUGUAAGUUUGUAUUAACCAAACAAACUGGAAAUAAAGGGCUUAAAAAUAAGACAAACUACAUGUUUGUUACCAGACUUUAGGGCCAGACUCGCGCUGUUUGUUCCAGACCAGGACUCUGGCUGAGGAGAGCUGAUGGAGGAGCCAAAACUCUGGUCUACGACAUCACUCCACCAACCAGGAUCCUCGAAUCUGGAGGACUGAUGGAGAAGCCGUACAUCUGAAAGGCAAAUCCUGAGGACCACCAGGACUCUACCAUCAAGGAUUCCUCAUAUGUUAUCUAUUAUCUGGACAUAUUGGACUAGACACACCUGAGCCGAACCUCACCUGAUCCUGUUUGGUUGGGGGUAGACACACCUGAGCUAAACCCGCCCUGAUCCUGACAUCCUGCUGGUCCCGUCUCCUCAGUUCAUCUGAGCCUCGUCCUCCAGAAGACCUGCUGAGCUCAGCAGUCUGAGGCUGAUGGAUCAUUGACCUCCAGUGGGAGUGAUCUUCUUGACCCCACCUGUAACCGUGUGCUUCCACACGCCUUUCCCUCACGUCUGUCACUAACCUCACUACUUCACUACUCUCCACUGCUUCCUCUUUUCUUCCUUCUCUGUGGUUCAAACCUUUACACUGAAGGCGCGUCUUCCUGCCCUCAGAGGGUUUAGCGUUAGGGUUGAGAGUCAGGGUUUAGAGUCAGGGACAGAGCUGGUCAGGGAGGACUGCUUUUACACAAACCUCUUCAUUUGCUUUCGGAAUGGUGGUGGAAUUUUGAAAAGAUUCAUUUGGGAAAAUGUUUUCCUCUGCUUUCCUUUACAAAAUUGUAUUUAACUUCUGUCAAUUGUUUUUGUUUAGAUAUUAAAAUCCCACAUUGACUUC